RNAcentral lists this ribosomal RNA (441 nucleotides) under uncultured bacterium. RNAcentral's name for it is "bacterial SSU rRNA". It matches the Rfam family "Bacterial small subunit ribosomal RNA", at positions 30 to 504 of the family's 1533-position model. The record is from RNAcentral.
UGAACGCUGGCGGUAUGCCUUAUACAUGCAAGUCGUACGAGAGUUUUUAACUCAAGUGGCGGACGGGUGAGUAACACGUAAGAAUUUGCCUUUAGGAGGGGGAUAACAACUGGAAACGGUUGCUAAUACCCCAUAUGCUUUCGAGUGAAAUGGAUUUAUAUUUAUCCGCCUAGAGAGAAGCUCGCGGCUGAUUAGCUUGUUGGUAAGGUAAGAGCUUACCAAGGCGACGAUCAGUAUCUGGUUUGAGAGGACGAUCAGACACACUGGAACUGAGACACGGUCCAGACUCCUACGGGAGGCAGCAGUGGGGAAUUUUCCGCAAUGGGCGAAAGCCUGACGGAGCAAUACCGCGUGAGGGAUGACGGCCUAUGGGUUGUAAACCUCUUUUUUCAGGGAGGAAUAAAAUGACGUGUACCUGAAGAAUAAGCAUCGGCUAACUCC